Daucus carota subsp. sativus is the source of this 2506-nucleotide RNA transcript. It is a transcript of the gene named phytyl ester synthase 2, chloroplastic-like, with no coding region annotated. The transcript has 16 exons. The record is from RefSeq and is a predicted model, not a curated record. Lineage: Eukaryota; Viridiplantae; Streptophyta; Magnoliopsida; Apiales; Apiaceae.
ACUCUGGCACUCUGAAAUACUCCCAAGUCCCAAUACAAAACUCAGUGGAUACUUGGUGUAUAAUUAAUCUUAGGUAAUGUACUCCACAUGGUCGUCGGCAGUUCUAGCCGUUGGUUUGACUCCGUCCUUCCACCGCCACAUUUCACCGGCCGGCGAAAAACUCCGUCAGUUAUGUAAAUCAUCAUAUUUUUCAGAGUCUUCAACAAAAAGACGACGAUCAGUUGCGUUAUUGGCGAGUAGUUCGAGUGGCAGAAUCUUGAAAAUAGGCGAGAAUUCAGAGGCUGAUAAGAGAUUGAGCCUGAAAGAUUACUUUGAACAGUCGGAGUAUUUAUUCCGAUCAGACGGUGGACCUCCGCGGUGGUUCUCCCCGUUAGAGUGCGCUUCUCAGUUGGAUGACUCGCCUCUCCUUCUGUCUCUUCCAGCAAUUGAUGGUCUCGGAUCCAUGCUUACCCUGCAUUUCCAAUCACUUGGAAAGAUAUUCGACAUUUGGUGCUUGCAUAUUCCUAUUGACGACCGAACACCAUUUCCGGAGCUGGUGAAGGGGGUUGUAGAGACGAUUAGAUCAGAGCAUUGCCAUUCACCAAAGCGGCCCAUAUAUCUUGUUGCAGAAUCAUUUGGGGGUUGCUUAGCACUAGCUGUUGCUUCCUGUUGUCCUGACAUUGAUCUUUUAUUAGUUCUGGCUAAUCCAGCCACAUCUUUCAGCAAGUCCCAGCUACAACCUCUUAUACCCCUGCUAGAAAUCAUGCCUGAUAUAAGCCGCUUUAGCGUGCCUUAUAUGCUGAGCUUCCUGGCAGAUAUCCCUUCGAAGAUGGUGAUGGGAACCCUGGAGGAGAGACUUCCUGUUCAACAAACAAUUGGAGAUAUAACUGAUGCUUCCAUAGCAUUGUCAUCAUAUCUUUCUGUGAUGGCAGAUGUUCUAUCAACGGAAUCACUUCUGUGGAAGCUGAAGAUGGUCAAAUCAGCUAGUGCAUAUGCUAAUUCACGUCUUCAUGCCGUGAAAUCUGAAACACUAGUCCUUUCCAGUGGUAGAGAUCUGUUGCUUCCAAGUGUUGAAGAAGGAGAAAGACUACAGAAAGUUCUCCCAAAAUGCAAGGUUCGGACAUUUAAUGACAGUGGCCAUGCUUUCUUUUUGGAACGUACUCAUGAUCUGGUUAGUAUCUUAAUGGGUACCAGUUUCUAUCGCCGAGGAGCAUAUCAUAACUAUGCAUCAGAUUAUAUUCCGCCAAGUCCUUCUGAAUUCAGAAAAAUAUAUGAGUCAACAAGCUGGUUAGAGAAUGCAACAAGUCCUGUGGUUAUGUCGACAAUAGAAAGUGGGAAGAUUGUGAGGGGCCUUGCAGGGAUUCCUAAAGAAGGCCCAGUCUUAUAUGUAGGCAAUCACAUGAUGUUGGGACUUGAAUUAGCGCCUCUAGUAACCCGCUUUAUGGUGGAGCGAGAUAUACUUCUGCGAGGAAUGGCACAUCCACUGAUGUUUACAAAGUUAAAAGAAGGAAAUUUGCCUGAUGUAUCAUCAUUCGAUUAUGUUAGAGUUAUGGGUGCUGUUCCUGUAUCAGCAACUAACUUUUACAGACUCUUCUCUGUUAAUUCACAUAUCUUGCUGUACCCCGGAGGUGUGCGUGAGGCUCUUCAUCGAAAGGGAGAGGAAUACAAACUAUUCUGGCCGGAACAGUCUGAGUUUAUUAGGAUGGCAGCUAGAUUUGGAGCAAAGAUAAUACCAUUUGGCGCUGUUGGAGAAGAUGAUAUAUUUCAAUUGCUUCUCGACUACAAUGACCAAGCAAAGAUUCCCUUUCUUAAAUCUUUUUACGAGGAACUAAGUAAAGAAGCUGUGAACUUGAGGAGUGACAGCACAGGCGAGGUAACAAAUCAAGAACAGCACAUGCCAGUAUUGCUUCCUAAACUUCCAGGUCGCUUUUAUUAUCUUUUUGGAAAGCCAAUUGGAACUGCAGGUAGGAAGCAGGAACUAAAGAGCAAAGAAAAAUCACAUGAACUGUAUCUAGAAGUACAGACUGAGGUCGAGAGAUGCCUUGGAUAUCUGAAGGAAAAACGAAAAUAUGAUCCAUAUAGGAAUAUAGUACAGCGGUUGGCCUUUCAGGCGAGGCAUGGCUUGGAAUCUGAAAUUCCUACAUUUGAGCAUUGAUAAUUUGUUGUUAUAAGGGUCCUGAUCCUCUCAACUGUUUGCAAGGAACAUGUUAACAAUGAGGAGUUAUCCAAGAGAAAGAGGAUGAAAACAGGUUAGAGAAAGUUUCUUACAGGUUUGUAGAGGUUCAACAAAUAUAACCAACAUCAGGAGGUUGACUAUAUUUAUGGACAAGGGGAAUGUAUCAUUGGAGCUUAAGUUUUUUUUUACAUAAUCUCUAUAUUUUUUGUUUAUAGUAUGUAUUAAUGAUAUUUAGCUAAGGAUUUUACAUGAUUAGAGAAUAGAGAUGCUCUAAAGACAACUAAAAUAGCAAAUUAACUAAAUUAGGUUAAAAUUGAUUCAUAAGUAUAUAUUGUUGAAACUAGUACAAAA